This 237-nucleotide long non-coding RNA is filed under the name Glycine max (soybean). Its description in RNAcentral is "long non-coding RNA (GMAX_LNC002558)". Lineage: Eukaryota; Viridiplantae; Streptophyta; Magnoliopsida; Fabales; Fabaceae. The record is from RNAcentral.
GCUACAUCAGGAGACUCAACAGCACCAAACUCCUCAACGCCUCCUCCAAACUCCUCUUCCGUGCCACUAUCUUAGUCGCACUCAUCCUCGUCUUCCUCUUCACCUUCAACUACCCUCCCCUCGCCCCAGACUUCACCUCCCACCGCCACCUCCACUCCCACUCCCACUUCCUCUCCUCCUCCUCCUCCUUCGCCUCCUGGGAGAAGCAGGUCCGCCACUCCUCCACCCCUCGCCGCC